RNAcentral lists this ribosomal RNA (1978 nucleotides) under marine sediment metagenome. RNAcentral describes it as "bacterial LSU rRNA". It matches the Rfam family "Bacterial large subunit ribosomal RNA", at positions 1 to 1989 of the family's 2925-position model. The record is from RNAcentral.
AAAAGUAAUUAAGAGCGUAUGGCGGAUGCCUUGGCUCUCAGAGGCGAUGAAGGACGUGAUAAGCUGCGAUAAGCUGCGGGGAGGCGCAAACAACUCUCGAUCCGCAGAUUUCCGAAUGGGGAAACCCAAUGCCGUGAAGCGGCAUUAUCCUAUUUAUAGGAAGCAAACCCGGAGAAUUGAAACAUCUUAGUACCCGGAGGAAAAGAAAACAAUAGUGAUUCCCUUAGUAGUGGCGAUCGAACGGGGAAUAGCCCAAACCGAUAUUGUUUAGGCAAUGUCGGGGUUGUAGGACUGUAACAUGAAUAUUAAUUUUAAGUGGAAUUUUUCUGGAAAGCUGAACCAUAGAGGGUGAAAGUCCUGUACACGUAAAAAGUUAAUAGUCUAACAGUAUCCUGAGUAGCGCGGGACACGUGAAAUCCUGUGUGAAACUGCCGGGACCAUCCGGUAAGGCUAAAUACUCCUGAGAGACCGAUAGUGAACUAGUACCGUGAGGGAAAGGUGAAAAGCACCCUGAACAAGGGAGUGAAAUAGUACCUGAAACCAUACGCUUACAAACGGUUGGAGCCACGCUUUUGCGUGGUGACAGCGUGCCUUUUGCAUAAUGAGCCUACGAGUUACUCCUCACUAGCAAGGUUAAUCCGUUCAGCGGAGAAGCCGAAGCGAAAGCAAGUCUGAAUAGGGCGAUAUAGUUAGUGGGGGUAGACGCGAAACUUGGUGAUCUACCCAUGGCCAGGCUGAAGUACCGGUAACACGGUAUGGAGGGCCGAACCAGUAGACGUUGAAAAGUCUUUGGAUGAGCUGUGGGUAGGGGUGAAAGGCCAAUCAAACUGAGAAAUAGCUCGUACUCCCCGAAAUGCAUUUAGGUGCAGCCUCGUGGUGAGUCUUGUAGAGGUAGAGCUACUGAUAAGGCUAGAGGGCUUCAUCGCCUAUCAAACCUUGACAAACUCCGAAUGCUACAAGAUAUACACGGGAGUGAGGCGUUGGGUGCUAAGGUCCAAUGCCGAGAGGGAAACAACCCAGACCAUCAGCUAAGGUCCCUAAAUAUAUGUUAAGUUGAUCUAACGUAGUGCGAUUGCUUUGACAGCUAGGAUGUUGGCUUGGAAGCAGCCAUUCAUUUAAAGAGUGCGUAACAGCUCACUAGUCGAGCGAUCGUGCGUGGAUGAUAAUCGGGCAUAAACAUAUUACCGAAGCUAUGGACUCACGUCUUAGGACGUGAUUGGUAGGGGAGCAUUCCAGUUGUGUCGAAGCUGUGUCGUAAGGCAUGGUGGAACGACUGGAAAAGAAAAUGUAGGCAUAAGUAACGAUAAUGCGGGUGAGAAACCCGCACACCGAUAGACUAAGGUUUCCUGAUCAACGCUAAUCGGAUCAGGGUUAGUCGGGUCCUAAGGUGUAGCCGAACGGCGAAGCCGAUGGAUAACAGGUCAAUAUUCCUGUACCAGCGCAUAUUGCGAUGGGGUGACGAAAGAGUGAAAGGUCUGCGUACUGACGGAAUAGUACGUUAAAGGGUGUAGGUAUACAGAUGGGUUAAUAGCUCGACUGUGCUGAACCUGAUAGUACCGUGAGUCUUCGGACAAGCGGAUAAUGACCCUAAUCUGAUUUCCAAGAAAAACCUCUAAGCUUCAGAUAUGUGCUGCCCGUACCUCAAACCGACACAGGUAGUCAAGGAGAGAAUCCUGAGGUGCUCGAGUGAUUCAUGGCUAAGGAACUAGGCAAAAUAGUCCUGUAACUUCGGGAGAAAGGACGCCUACUUCGGUAGGCCGCAGAGAAAUGGCCCAGGCGACUGUUUAUCAAAAACACAAGGCUUUGCUAAAUCGAAAGAUGAUGUAUAAGGCCUGACACCUGCCCGGUGCCGGAAGGUUAAGAGGGGGGGUUAUCACACUUCGGUGUGAGAAGCUCUGAAUUGAAGCCCCGGUAAACGGCGGCCGUAACUAUAACGGUCCUAAGGUAGCGAAAUUCCUUGUCGGGUAAGUUCCGACCU